GGCUUUGGAGUAAAUUUACAGUAUGGUCAUUGGGGCAGAGAUAAGAGUCUGUAGCCCUUUUGAUGUGAGAGAAAAACUAAUUGUUAAAGUGGGACAAACAGAGAAAUCCCUGAAAUUGACUCCUUUAGACACUCUUUCCUUUCUACCGUGAGAAAUCUCCCAUUUUCUCUGUGUCUAUUCCAGACUGUCUUUGAGGAAUCCUUCCCUUCUGUUUAGCUUCAUAGAUACAGUGUUGAAUUGACUUUAUCUAACCAAGUUCUUUCAAAUGAUUUUUAAAACCAGGUGGUAUAAACGGCAUUGUCUGAAACACAGGAUCCUGAAGAGGUCUCAGUCACUGUCAAGGCCUUCAUGACAGCUGACCUGCCUAAAGAACUGAUUGAGCUGCUGGAAAAGAUUGUUCUGGGUAACUCUGUCUUCAGUGAGCACAGAGUGGCUGUAUCAUUUUGCAUUCCCAGCAGCAAUGUGUGAGAAUUCCAGUUGCUCUGCAUCUUCACCAGCACUUGAGCCUCCAGUAUAAAGUUGAAGUGAAGUGGUGACAGUGGACAUCCUUGUCUUGUUCCUGAUUCUGGGGGCAGCAUCCAGUCGCUCACCAUUGAGUAUGAUGUUAGCUGUGGGUUUUUUGUAGAUGUCCUUUGUCAGAUUAAAGAAGUUCCCUUCUAUUUCUAGUUUGCUGAGAGUUUUUAUCAUUAAUGGAUGUUGAAUUUUGUCAGAUGCUUUUUCUGAAUCAAUUGAUU
Long non-coding RNA from Diceros bicornis minor, 734 nucleotides. RefSeq lists it as uncharacterized. The record is from RefSeq and is a predicted model, not a curated record. NCBI's taxonomy places the organism in Eukaryota, Metazoa, Chordata, Mammalia, Perissodactyla, Rhinocerotidae. The transcript has 3 exons.